Molecule: ribosomal RNA, 448 nt
Filed under: uncultured bacterium
Lineage: Bacteria
Description: bacterial SSU rRNA
Rfam family: Bacterial small subunit ribosomal RNA
Source: RNAcentral
CCAGACUCCUACGGGAGGCAGCAGUGGGGAAUAUUGGGCAAUGGGCGCAAGCCUGACCCAGCAACGCCGCGUGAAGGAAGAAGGCCCUCGGGUUGUAAACUUCUUUUAACAGGGACGAAGAAAGUGACGGUACCUGUUGAAUAAGCCACGGCUAACUACGUGCCAGCAGCCGCGGUAAUACGUAGGUGGCAAGCGUUAUCCGGAUUUACUGGAUGUAAAGGGCGUGUAGGCGGGAGAGCAAGUCAGACGUGAAAUUCCAGGGCUCAACCCUGGAACUGCGUUUGAAACUGUUCUUCUUGAGUGAUGGAGAGGCAGGCGGAAUUCCGUGUGUAGCGGUGAAAUGCGUAGAUAUACGGAGGAACACCAGUGGCGAAGGCGGAUUGCUGGACAGUAACUGACGCUGAGGCGCGAAAGCGUGGGGAGCAAACAGGAUUAGAGACCCCUGUAA